This 253-nucleotide ribosomal RNA is filed under the name uncultured bacterium. Its description in RNAcentral is "partial 16S ribosomal RNA". It matches the Rfam family "Bacterial small subunit ribosomal RNA", at positions 524 to 776 of the family's 1533-position model. The record is from RNAcentral.
UACGUAGGGGGCAAGCGUUGUCCGGAUUUAUUGGGCGUAAAGAGCGUGUAGGCGGUUAGGUAGGUCCGUUGUGAAAACUCGAGGCUCAACCUCGAGACGCCGAUGGAAACCAUCUGACUAGAGUCCGGAAGAGGAGAGUGGAAUUCCUGGUGUAGCGGUGAAAUGCGCAGAUAUCAGGAGGAACACCGGUGGCGAAGGCGGUUCUCUGGGCAUUACCUGACGCUGAGGAGCGAAAGCGUGGGGAGCAAACAGG